ACAACAAAGAGUCCCUCCCGACUGUUUACCAAAAACACAGCACUCUGCUAACUCGUAAGAGGAUGUAUAGGGUGUGACGCCUGCCCGGUGCUCGAAGGUUAAUUGAUGGGGUUAGCAUUAGCGAAGCUCUUGAUCGAAGCCCGAGUAAACGGCGGCCGUAACUAUAACGGUCCUAAGGUAGCGAAAUUCCUUGUCGGUUAAAUACCGACCUGCAUGAAUGGCGUAACGAGAUGGGAGCUGUCUCAAAGAGGGAUCCAGUGAAAUUGUAGUGGAGGUGAAAAUUCCUCCUACCCGCGGCAAGACGGAAAGACCCCGUGGACCUUUACUACAGCUUGACACUGCUAUUUGGAUAAGAAUGUGCAGGAUAGGUGGGAGGCUUUGAGUAUAUGACGCCAGUUGUAUAUGAGCCAUUGUUGAGAUACCACUCUUUCUUAUUUGGGUAGCUAACCAGCUUGAGUUAUCCUCAAGUGGGACAAUGUCUGGUGGGUAGUUUGACUGGGGCGGUCGCCUCCCAAAUAAUAACGGAGGCUUACAAAGGUUGGCUCAUAGCGGUUGGAAAUCGCUAGUAGAGUAUAAAGGUAUAAGCCAGCUUAACUGCAAGACAUACAAGUCAAGCAGAGACGAAAGUCGGUCUUAGUGAUCCGGUGGUUCUGUGUGGAAGGGCCAUCGCUCAAAGGAUAAAAGGUACCCCGGGGAUAACAGGCUGAUCUCCCCCAAGAGCUCACAUCGACGGGGAGGUUUGGCACCUCGAUGUCGGCUCAUCGCAUCCUGGGGCUGGAGCAGGUCCCAAGGGUAUGGCUGUUCGCCAUUUAAAGCGGUACGCGAGCUGGGUUCAGAACGUCGUGAGACAGUUCGGUCCCUAUCUGCCGUGGGCGUAAGAAGAUUGAAGAGAUUUGACCCUAGUACGAGAGGACCGGGUUGAACAAACCACUGGUGUAGCUGUUGUUCUGCCAAGAGCAUCGCAGCGUAGCUAAGUUUGGAAAGGAUAAACGCUGAAAGCAUCUAAGCGUGAAGCCAACUCUAAGAUGAAUCUUCUCUAAGCUCUCUAGAAGACUACUAGUUUGAUAGGCUGGGUGUGUAAUGGAUGAAAGUCCUUUAGCUGACCAGUACUAAUAGAGCGUUUGGCUUAUCUUAUAAA
This 1138-nucleotide ribosomal RNA is filed under the name Campylobacter upsaliensis. RNAcentral describes it as "partial 23S ribosomal RNA". It matches the Rfam family "Bacterial large subunit ribosomal RNA", at positions 1779 to 2925 of the family's 2925-position model. The record is from RNAcentral. Lineage: Bacteria; Pseudomonadati; Campylobacterota; Epsilonproteobacteria; Campylobacterales; Campylobacteraceae.